Molecule: ribosomal RNA, 483 nt
Filed under: uncultured bacterium
Lineage: Bacteria
Description: partial 16S ribosomal RNA
Rfam family: Bacterial small subunit ribosomal RNA
Source: RNAcentral
AUUGAACGCUGGCGGCAUGCUUUACACAUGCAAGUCGAACGGCAGCGCGGGCUUCGGCCUGGCGGCGAGUGGCGAACGGGUGAGUAAUGCAUCGGAACGUGCCCAGUAGUGGGGGAUAGCCCGGCGAAAGCCGGAUUAAUACCGCAUACGACCUGAGGGUGAAAGCGGGGGACCGAAAGGCCUCGCGCUAUUGGAGCGGCCGAUGUCGGAUUAGCUAGUUGGUGGGGUAAAGGCUUACCAAGGCGACGAUCCGUAGCUGGUCUGAGAGGACGACCAGCCAACCGGGGACUGAGACCGGGCCCAGACCCCUAGGGGAGGAAGCAGUGGGGAAUUUUGGACAAGGGGGGCAACCCUGAUCCAGCCAGGCCGGGGGGGGGAAGAAGGCCUCCGGGUUGUAAACCGUUUUUGUUGGGGAAAAAAUCCUCUGGGCUAAUACCCCGGGGGGAUGACGGAACCGGAAAAAUAAGCACCGGCAAACUACGU